Molecule: ribosomal RNA, 483 nt
Filed under: uncultured bacterium
Lineage: Bacteria
Description: bacterial SSU rRNA
Rfam family: Bacterial small subunit ribosomal RNA
Source: RNAcentral
GACGAACGCUGGCGGCGUGCUUAACACAUGCAAGUCGAACGGGGUCCACCGCGUAGCAAUACAAGGGAAGACCGAGUGGCGAACGGGUGCGUAACACGUGAGGAACUUGUCCCGGUCUCUGGGAUAACAGUUGGAAACGACUGCUAAUACCGGAUGACGUCGGAGCAUCGCAUGGUGCGCUGACGAAAGGGUUACUGGAUCGGGAGAGCCUCGCGGCCUAUCAGCUUGNGGUGGGGUAACGGCCUACCAAGGCAUCGACGGGUAGCUGGUCUGAGAGGAUGAUCAGCCACACUGGGACUGAGACACGGCCCAGACUCCUACGGGAGGCAGCAGUGGGGAAUCUUGCGCAAUGGGCGAAAGCCUGACGCAGCAACGCCGCGUGCGGGAAGAAGGCUCUCGGGUUGUAAACCGCUUUCAGAAGAACGAAAUGACGGUACUUUCAGAAGAAGGUGCGGCCAACUACGUGCCAGCAGCCGCCGUAAC